GACGAACGCUGGCGGCGUGCUUAACACAUGCAAGUCGAACGGAAAGGCCCUGCUUUUGUGGGGUGCUCGAGUGGCGAACGGGUGAGUAACACGUGAGUAACCUGCCCUUGACUUUGGUAUAACUUCAGGAAACUGGGGCUAAUACCGGAUAGGAGCUCCUGCUGCAUGGUGGGGGUUGGAAAGUUUCGGCGGUUGGGGAUGGACUCGCGGCUUAUCAGCUUGUUGGUGGGGUAGUGGCUUACCAAGGCUUUGACGGGUAGCCGGCCUGAGAGGUUGACCGGCCACAUUGGGACUGAGAUACGGCCCAGACUCCUACGGGAGGCAGCAGUGGGGAAUAUUGCACAAUGGGCGGAAGCCUGAUGCAGCAACGCCGCGUGCGGGAUGACGGCCUUCGGGUUGUAAACCGCUUUCGCCUGUGACGAAGCGUGAGUGACGGUAAUGGGUAAAGAAGCACCGGCUAACUACGUG
This 468-nucleotide ribosomal RNA is filed under the name uncultured bacterium. RNAcentral's name for it is "partial 16S ribosomal RNA". It matches the Rfam family "Bacterial small subunit ribosomal RNA", at positions 28 to 507 of the family's 1533-position model. The record is from RNAcentral.